Molecule: ribosomal RNA, 440 nt
Filed under: uncultured bacterium
Lineage: Bacteria
Description: partial 16S ribosomal RNA
Rfam family: Bacterial small subunit ribosomal RNA
Source: RNAcentral
CCUACGGGAGGCAGCAGUGGGGAAUAUUGCACAAUGGGGGAAACCCUGAUGCAGCGACGCCGCGUGAGUGAAGAAGUAUUUCGGUACGUAAAGCUCUAUCAGCAGGGAAGAAAAUGACGGUACCUGACUAAGAAGCCCCGGCUAACUACGUGCCAGCAUCCGCGGUAAUACGUAGGGGGCAAGCGUUAUCCGGAUUUACUGGGUGUAAAGGGAGCGUAGACGGCAGCGCAAGUCUGGAGUGAAAUCCCAUGGCUUAACCAUGGAACUGCUUUGGAAACUGUGCAGCUAGAGUGCAGGAGAGGUAAGCGGAAUUCCUAGUGUAGCGGUGAAAUGCGUAGAUAUUAGGAGGAACACCAGUGGCGAAGGCGGCUUACUGGACUGUAACUGACGUUGAGGCUCGAAAGCGUGGGGAGCAAACAGGAUUAGAUACCCCUGUAGUC